RNAcentral lists this ribosomal RNA (513 nucleotides) under uncultured bacterium. RNAcentral's name for it is "bacterial SSU rRNA". It matches the Rfam family "Bacterial small subunit ribosomal RNA", at positions 14 to 518 of the family's 1533-position model. The record is from RNAcentral.
CGAUUCUGGCUCAGGAUGAACGCUAGCGACAGGCUUAACACAUGCAAGUCGAGGGGCAGCACGGGAGUAGCAAUACAACUGGUGGCGACCGGCGCACGGGUGAGUAACGCGUAUGCAACCUACCUAUCAGAGGGGAAUAACCCGGCGAAAGUCGGACUAAUACCGCAUAAAACAGGGGCACCGCAUGGUGAUAUUUGUUAAAGAAAUUCGCUGAUAGAUGGGCAUGCGUUCCAUUAGGUAGUUGGUGAGGUAACGGCUCACCAAGCCGACGAUGGAUAGGGGAACUGAGAGGUUGGUCCCCCACACUGGUACUGAGACACGGACCAGACUCCUACGGGAGGCAGCAGUGAGGAAUAUUGGUCAAUGGGCGAGAGCCUGAACCAGCCAAGUCGCGUGAAGGAAGAAGGAUCUAUGGUUCGUAAACUUCUUUUGCAGGGGAAUAAAGUGCGGGACGUGUCCUGUUUUGUAUGUACCCUGAGAAUAAGGAUCGGCUAACUCCGUGCCAGCAGCCGC